AUGUACGCUACUUCAACGGCUUCAACUACGACAUCAGGGUCGGGACGGGCAGCGGGAGUGGCUUCAACGGAGCGCCGAGUGCGAGUCUUGAGGUUGCUACGCCCCCGCAGAUCUACUCCCGCAUUUGGUUUCUCGUUACGAGGUGGGAAAGAAUAUGGCUCCGGUUUCUUCAUUUCGAAAGUAGAGUUUAAUUCGGAAGCCCACCUCCAGGGCCUAAAGGUCGGUGACCAGUUGGUUAGCGUUAAUGGAUAUAGAGUAGACGAUGCAGUCCACGGAGAAUUAAUUCACUACCUCGCUUCUCAAUCCAGACUCAAAAUUAAAGUGAGACAUAUUGGCAUGUUACCAGUCAAAGAGAAAGGACACGAAGCUCUAUCGUGGCAAUUCGUGUCGGAACGUGCAUCGCUCGGGUCCGACGUGUCAUCUUCUCCAACGCUUUGUCAUGACACGGAAGGACUUGUGGAUCUACGCCUUUCAAUCUUGGUUCCACCCCGAGCCAAACUCGGUUGUGGGAUUUGUAAAGGACCUGAAUGGAAACCGGGGAUAUUUGUUCAGUUUGUAAGGGAAGGAGGGAUUGCGAGAGAGGCAGGAUUACGUCCAGGUGAUCAAAUAUUAUCCUGCAAUGGCACAGAUUUCGGCAAUAUCGCCUUUAAUGAGGCUAUAACGGCAAUGAAAGCAACGGGACGCUUAGAACUGGUGAUACGCGAAGGCGCCGGGACUGAACUAGUAUCGCCGGAGAGCUCAGGGUAUAACAGCUCCGCUUCGUCUGCGGCGGGAGAGAGAAGUCCCGCGCCCACGCCGCACGUACCGCUCGCACCUCCUGCAGCUUUACGCCGCCGUCUCGCGAGCGUCGCUGAAGAAGCGGCCGAUCGCGCCGACAGGCUGACCAUGAAUAGACUGAAAAGACGCACUUGGGACAGCUUAGAUUUCGAUUGGAAGCACAAGGAUAUUCAUAACUUUGAUGCUCCCUCCGAUAUAGAACCCGAUUACGAUUGUCCAAGCAUACCAAACAAUCCACAUACGUUUGAAAAUAAAGCAAAAACUAGGAAUAAUAAUAAUAACAAAAGUGUUAAAGAAUUUGUAACGAAUCCAUCGAAUAAAACAAUAAUUAAUUUAACGGAAGACGGUGCAACUAUACAAUGUAGUUACGAUAGUAAUCAGUCUCCAAGGAAAAGUACUUUUUCGUUGAAUAAUGGAGGCAGAGGGAACGACAAGAAGACAAUCGUAGUUGAGCUACACCACACCAAUACUACAACAUGUGGGAAGCCGGCUUGUAAUAACUUUAUUCCUCCACCUAUGAUGGAGGCUAGUUCAGAUAGUACCAGUGUUUCAAGCACGGUAUCUUUAUCAAAUGCUAUUGCAGAAGAAAUAUUAAGAAGAAAACAGAUGAAAAAAUCUACGAACACCGAAAACGUUCCCCCUCCUGUUGUGCCUAAAAAAAUAGUAACAAAAACUGUUGACAAUGACAAGAAAAAACAACACGACGCUCUCAUGGACGAAUUUAAAAAAGUGCACAGGAAAAUGUUUGCUAAUCUGGAUAUUACUGACAAAGAAACAGCAACGCAUAACAUAGACAAUAGCGAUCCAAUGGACAGACAACCUACUUUGCCGCUCAAGAAAACCGAUCACCUUCCGUUCGAGGCUACAAAUGAUCCUCCAAUACCCAAACGCGAAACUACAGAGGAUCCACCGCCUCCACCACCGAUGCCAAUAACAAACGGUCUACAAAACGGAAACCAUUUGGCGAAAGCUGAUAACAUAUUAAAGACAGUUUUAGACCUUAAAACUUCAAAUUGUAGAAAAAACGGUACUCUAACUCGAACUCCGACACCAGACUACGUCGACAAGGCACACGUUCAGCUAAAAACUGUCAAAGACGAAAAAGCUGAACUAGAAUCACUCGAAUCUUAUAAACUUAAGAAUCCCGUUAAUGUCGCACCAAAGCCGCCAUCAAAUUAUUUCGUAAAAGCACCAAAUGGAACUACGACCAUGAAGAAAAAUGCAAGACCCGUGUCAGUAACUAUAUGUGAAUAUUCAAACAACGGCAACAGUAGACGUGAACCAACGAAGUUAGACUUUUUAGGUACUGAUAUGCCAGAUGGAAUUUUAAGCGAUGGGAAUGAUAUACCUAUCACGAACAGACUGCAAUCAGAACUAGCUUUAACUUUGUCUAGAUCUAAUUUACGUAAGAAAACUGAAGCUUUGGUCAAAUCCAUAAGUGGAAAUAUUAAUUUGAAUUUUGAUGAUACCGGUAGUGACAGUACAUCUAUAGACAAAAAUUUUCAUGCCAGAUAUGGCAACAAUCUCUUACCCCUACCGCCUUCGAUAUCUAUACCUAAAGUAACAAGCAAAAUUGAGAAUUGACCUAAAACUGAUGUAAUACCUACAUUAAAAAUAAAAACUACAAAACAUACCACCUCAACAAAACCAAAAACGACGCGAGUCGAUAGACUUAGAAAAUUGGG
RNAcentral lists this unclassified non-coding RNA (2462 nucleotides) under Bombyx mandarina (wild silkworm). RNAcentral's name for it is "uncharacterized LOC114248500, transcript variant X4". Lineage: Eukaryota; Metazoa; Arthropoda; Insecta; Lepidoptera; Bombycidae. The record is from RNAcentral.